CUUAUACAUGCAAGUCGAGCGAUGAGACACCUCUCGGGUGUGAAUUAGCGGCGAACGGGUGAGGAACACGUGAGAAAUCUGCCCUCAACACUGGGAUAACUCCGGGAAACCGGGGCUAAUACCGGAUAUGAAAUCUGCGGCCAUCCGCGGAUUUGGAAAGUUUUUCGGUUGAAGAUGAUCUCGCGGCCUAUCAGCUUGUUGGUGAGGUAAUGGCUCACCAAGGCGACGACGGGUAGCCGGCCUGAGAGGGCGACCGGCCACACUGGGACUGAGACACGGCCCAGACUCCUACGGGAGGCAGCAGUGGGGAAUAUUGGGCAAUGGAGGAAACUCUGACCCAGCGACGCCGCGUGCGGGAUGAAGGCCUUCGGGUUGUAAACCGCUUUCAGCAGGGAAGAAGCGAAAGUGACGGUACCUGCAGAAGAAGCACCGGCUAACUAUGUGCCAGCAGCCGCGGUAAUACAUAGGGUGCAAGCGUUGUCCGGAAUUAUUGGGCGUAAAGAGCUCGUAGGUGGUUCGUCACGUCGGAUGUGAAACUCUGGGGCUUAACCCCAGACCUGCAUUCGAUACGGGCGAGCUUGAGUAUGGUAGGGGAGUCUGGAAUUCCUGGUGUAGCGGUGGAAUGCGCAGAUAUCAGGAGGAACACCAAUGGCGAAGGCAGGACUCUGGGCCAUUACUGACACUGAGGAGCGAAAGCGUGGGGAGCGAACAGGAUUAGAUACCCUGGUAGUCCACGCCGUAAACGGUGGGCACUAGUUGUGGGGACCUUCCACGGUCUCUGCGACGCAGCUAACGCAUUAAGUGCCCCGCCUGGGGAGUACGAUCGCAAGAUUAAAACUCAAAGGAAUUGACGGGGCCCCGCACAAGCAGCGGAGCAUGCGGCUUAAUUCGACGCAACGCGAAGAACCCUUGCAAGGCUUGACAUAUACAGGAAUAUGGCAGAGAUGUCAU
RNAcentral lists this ribosomal RNA (951 nucleotides) under uncultured Actinomycetales bacterium. RNAcentral describes it as "bacterial SSU rRNA". It matches the Rfam family "Bacterial small subunit ribosomal RNA", at positions 48 to 1012 of the family's 1533-position model. Lineage: Bacteria; Bacillati; Actinomycetota; Actinomycetes; Actinomycetales. The record is from RNAcentral.